Molecule: ribosomal RNA, 651 nt
Filed under: uncultured bacterium
Lineage: Bacteria
Description: bacterial SSU rRNA
Rfam family: Bacterial small subunit ribosomal RNA
Source: RNAcentral
ACGCUGGCGGCAGGCCUAACACAUGCAAGUCGAGCGGUAGAGAGAAGCUUGCUUCUCUUGAGAGCGGCGGACGGGUGAGUAAUGCCUAGGAAUCUGCCUGGUAGUGGGGGAUAACGUUCGGAAACGGACGCUAAUACCGCAUACGUCCUACGGGAGAAAGCAGGGGACCUUCGGGCCUUGCGCUAUCAGAUGAGCCUAGGUCGGAUUAGCUAGUUGGUGGGGUAAUGGCUCACCAAGGCGACGAUCCGUAACUGGUCUGAGAGGAUGAUCAGUCACACUGGAACUGAGACACGGUCCAGACUCCUACGGGAGGCAGCAGUGGGGAAUAUUGGACAAUGGGCGAAAACCUGAUCCAGCCAUGCCGCGUGUGUGAAGAAGGUCUUCGGAUUGUAAAGCACUUUAAGUUGGGAGGAAGGGCAGUUGCCUAAUACGUAACUGUUUUGACGUUACCGACAGAAUAAGCACCGGCUAACUCUGUGCCAGCAGCCGCGGUAAUACAGAGGGUGCAAGCGUUAAUCGGAAUUACUGGGCGUAAAGCGCGCGUAGGUGGUUUGUUAAGUUGGAUGUGAAAUCCCCGGGCUCAACCUGGGAACUGCAUUCAAACUGACUGACUAGAGUAUGGUAGAGGGUGGUGGAAUUUCCUGUGUAGCG